RNAcentral lists this ribosomal RNA (617 nucleotides) under uncultured bacterium. Its description in RNAcentral is "bacterial SSU rRNA". It matches the Rfam family "Bacterial small subunit ribosomal RNA", at positions 338 to 961 of the family's 1533-position model. The record is from RNAcentral.
CCUACGGGAGGCAGCAGUAGGGAAUCUUCCGCAAUGGACGAAAGUCUGACGGAGCAACGCCGCGUGAACGAUGAAGGCCUUCGGGUCGUAAAGUUCUGUUGUUAGGGAAGAACAAGUGCUAGUUGAAUAAGCUGGCACCUUGACGGUACCUAACCAGAAAGCCACGGCUAACUACGUGCCAGCAGCCGCGGUAAUACGUAGGUGGCAAGCGUUGUCCGGAAUUAUUGGGCGUAAAGCGCGCGCAGGCGGUUUCUUAAGUCUGAUGUGAAAGCCCCCGGCUCAACCGGGGAGGGUCAUUGGAAACUGGGAAACUUGAGUGCAGAAGAGGAAAGUGGAAUUCCAAGUGUAGCGGUGAAAUGCGUAGAGAUUUGGAGGAACACCAGUGGCGAAGGCGACUUUCUGGUCUGUAACUGACGCUGAGGCGCGAAAGCGUGGGGAGCAAACAGGAUUAGAUACCCUGGUAGUCCACGCUGUAAACGAUGAGUGCUAAGUGUUAGAGGGUUUCCGCCCUUUAGUGCUGAAGUUAACGCAUUAAGCACUCCGCCUGGGGAUACGGUCGCAGACUGAAACUNAAAGGAUUGACGGCUUGAGAGNGCGAGGACGACGACGAGGAGAGG